Molecule: small nuclear RNA, 163 nt
Organism: Peromyscus eremicus (cactus mouse)
Lineage: Eukaryota; Metazoa; Chordata; Mammalia; Rodentia; Cricetidae
Product: U1 spliceosomal RNA
Exons: 1
Source: RefSeq, a predicted model, not a curated record
AUAUUUACCUGGCAGAAGAGACACCGUAAUCAUGAAGGUGGUUUGCCCAGGGAAGGUUUAUCUACUGCACUCCAGAUGUGCUGACCUCUGAGAUUUCCCCAAAUGUGGGAAACCAGCCUUCAUAAUUUGUCGUAGUGAGGGGCUGUGUUCAUGCUGUCCCCAA